CUUACAUCAAUGAAUUAUUUGGUGACAGGACCACAUGCACCCGAUUUCAACUUGAUAACUUCUCGGACGGCAGGAUAUUUAUCACGGUUGAAUAUUCAGUAAGAAGACGACAAGUGAUGAACUGUAUAACACUGAGGGACAGUUCUUAGAUAAGAUAGAAAAGACGGAACAUAUGCUGUAAAUGAUCUGAAGUGAUUCCAAUAACAAAAACGUGGUUUGACUAUCUAACUGGAUGUUAGGGUAUUAUACUAUAUCAGCGGAAUUUUGGAGAAAAAUAUUGAAAUGCAGAUUACCAGUAAAUUUAUUUUAUAAAAGAACGUGAAAGAGAGGCGACAGAUAUACCAAAAGGACAUUCAAACUCAUAAGUUGAAAAUAAACUGUCAACGCCAUGGUUAAAAAGAAAGAAAGACAAACAGAUCUAGACAAUCAAUAGUACCCGAACACAACAUAGAAAACUAAUAACUGAGCAACACGAACCCAAAAAAACACUAGGAAUGAUCUCAGGUGCUCUAAAAGAGCACGCAGAUCCAGCUUCACGUGUGGCACCCGUCGAGUUGUCCAUGUUAGUACAAACCCGGUAUGUCACAUUCGGGCCGGGGGGGAUGAGAGGAACAUAGUAAUUGUAGUUACGACAUCUUGAACGUAUCCUCUACCAUUUGUGAACUGGAUAUUCCAUACGACCAACCAACUCGUGAUGGUGUCCGUAAAAUUUACUAAUGGAUCAUUUUAACCUCACAACUUGGAACUUUUGGUACACUAGCUUUCCUGUGAGCAGCAUUCUAUCAUCAAGGAAAUCAUGAUAUAGGAAAUUAAAGCUCUGAUUAUCGUAGCAAGUCGGAGAUAUAUUCAAGUCGGAGGUAUAUGCUGGAAUGUUGCUACAGGGACAUGGAAAGUUCACAAUUGGAAACUGAAAUCACCUCUUUUGUUGUAAACUUUUGUUUUCGAUAGACUCUUAUGGUCAAAGUAUUAGGCGAAAUGAUAUGUUAGUUCUUUUAUGUAGCUUUACUUCUGCGCUCCAAUAUUAUACAAAUAUCCGAUAUUUCUUGUCUCAAAU
This is a long non-coding RNA of Mytilus trossulus (common blue mussel), 1054 nucleotides long. RefSeq lists it as uncharacterized. The record is from RefSeq and is a predicted model, not a curated record. Lineage: Eukaryota; Metazoa; Mollusca; Bivalvia; Mytilida; Mytilidae. The transcript is spliced from 3 exons.